This 443-nucleotide ribosomal RNA is filed under the name uncultured bacterium. RNAcentral describes it as "partial 16S ribosomal RNA". It matches the Rfam family "Bacterial small subunit ribosomal RNA", at positions 338 to 795 of the family's 1533-position model. The record is from RNAcentral.
CCUACGGGUGGCAGCAGUGGGGAAUAUUGGACAAUGGGCGCAAGCCUGACCCAGCAACGCCGCGUGAGGGAAGAAGGCUUUCGGUUUGUAAACCUCUUUUGGCAGGGACGAAACAAGUGACGGUACCUGACGAAUAAGCCACGGCUAACUACGGGCCAGCAGCCGCGGUAAUCCGUAGGGGGCAAGCGUUAUCCGGAUUUACUGGGUGUAAAGGGCGGGUAGGCGGGACUGCAAGUCAGAUGUGAAAACCAGGGGCCCAACCUGUGGACUGCUUUUGAAACUGUAGGUCUGGAGUGCUGGAGAGGCAAGCGGAAUGCCUAGUGUAGCGGUGAAAUGCGUAGAUAUUAGGCGGAACACCAGUGGCGAAGGCGGUUUGCUGGACAGCAACUGACGCUGAGGCGCGAAAGCGUGGGGAGCAAACAGGAUUAGAUACCCUUGUAGUC